GGGGAAAUAGCUCAGUGAUAGAGCACAUGCUUAGCGUGCAUGAGGUCCUGGGUUCAAUCCCUGGUACCUCCA
This 72-nucleotide transfer RNA is filed under the name Camelus bactrianus (Bactrian camel). It matches the Rfam family "tRNA". Rfam says of the family: Transfer RNA (tRNA) molecules are approximately 80 nucleotides in length. Their secondary structure includes four short double-helical elements and three loops (D, anti-codon, and T loops). Lineage: Eukaryota; Metazoa; Chordata; Mammalia; Artiodactyla; Camelidae. RNAcentral also lists the same sequence under 1 other name. The record is from Rfam by way of RNAcentral.